AGAAUGCUAAGCGAUGCAAAUAAUAUGCUGCUAUUAAUAUGCCUAAAGUUCUACAGUUUUAAAUCUCCUCCUUCCCUCCCCCCCCCUCAUAACUUCCUUCUCUGAGGAGCUUCCAAACAGAGUGUUUACACAAAAGGCAACAGAGUAGGGGGUCAGGUGGGGAGUCUAUGACCCUCCAGACAUUUGGACUUCACCCGUUACUUACCUACUGCUAUGCUGGAUGGGACUGAUGGGAACCAAGGGCCAAAGGUCCCCUAUCACUGCAACAGGAGGCAAAGUGAAAGAAGAUGCAGAAAAUAUAAUUGAAGGAAGAUGGAGAAAAUAUUAAGAGGGGUUCAGUAGACCUAUGUUAUUAGGGUUAGCUGCAAUAGGAAGAUGAGGACUUAUAACAGCAGUAGGUUUGGUGGAGUAAAAGUGGUGUCUGCAAGGUGUCUCCUCCUGAUCCAGUGGGACAGCCCUGCAGAUGUGCCUGUCAUUCUGCAGGAUUUCACCACAGGGUAUCAUGUCAUCUUAACCAGAGCCAUACACAGUGGCCUCCAAGUAAUCAGGCCUUAGCUAGCAAUGACUGGAAGCUAUAUCCACACUGCGUUAAGCAGAUCUCUCCAGCUCACUUCGAAGGAAUCCCAAGCACUGCAUGUUCUGGAAGAUGCAUUCAUUCUCACCCUUGGAAGCUCUCCAUUAAGGCAGAUGUGAACAGCACACAGCCUGUUUUUAGUGCACUUUCUAGAGACUCAGCACAAGAGGCAGUUGAUUUUGCUGAGCAUGAGUUUACAACCAGGAACUGCAGUGUUGGUUCCCUUGAUACAAGGUGCCUGGAUCCCACAUGCCAAUGUGAAUGUUGUGUUCCUUCUGCGCCAAAGCAUUAUGCCAUUUACUCAUCACCAGUUUCCUUGAGCAAUCUUCAAAAUGAACGUGGCCACAGAUUCUCAAAUAAUGUACCACCAGUUCUUGUUGCUGUGUAUCCUGAUGAGCUAGGUUCUCCUCUUCAUGUGGAACAACUGGCCCAAAUUGACCGGACUCCCACACCUUCUAUUCCAGAUAGUUACUUGGUCUUUUCCAGAUAUUAAAACAUGGUGAGACCAUGAAGCAUCAUGAAUUAAGGACUGCUUUCUCUAAUACCACGUUAUACCGCUCUUAUUCCACCAUGUAAGCUUGGCUUUCUUUACAUUAUUUCUUUGGCAUGACAGUUUUGCGUGCUUGAGCAACAUCAUUGCAGAAAUGGAUUAAUUGCGGCUUGGAGAAUUACUAUUGCAGAUUUUGCCUUCUGUUGCAAUAAAGGUGAGGAGUAUGCAAAAGUGAUCUUUUGC
Molecule: long non-coding RNA, 1307 nt
Filed under: Pogona vitticeps (central bearded dragon)
Lineage: Eukaryota; Metazoa; Chordata; Lepidosauria; Squamata; Agamidae
Description: lncRNA (ENSPVIG00000022438.1)
Source: RNAcentral